Molecule: ribosomal RNA, 326 nt
Filed under: uncultured Spirochaetota bacterium
Lineage: Bacteria; Pseudomonadati; Spirochaetota
Description: bacterial SSU rRNA
Rfam family: Bacterial small subunit ribosomal RNA
Source: RNAcentral
AACGAACGCUGGCGGCGUGUCUUAAGCAUGCAAGUCGAGCGGCAAGGGCCAGCAAUGGCCCCUAGAGCGGCGGACUGGUGAGUAACGCGUGGAUGAUCUGCCCUUUGGUUGGGGAUAGCCAUUAGAAAUAGUGGGUAAUACCGAAUACGUUGCCAUGACCACGGUCAUGGCAGGAAAGGCGCUACGGCGCCGCCGGAGGAUGAGUCCGCGUCCCAUUAGCUAGUUGGUGGGGUAAGAGCCUACCAAGGCGAUGAUGGGUAGCCGGCCUGAGAGGGUGUACGGCCACACUGGGACUGAGAUACGGCCCAGACUCCUACGGGAGGCAG